This 90-nucleotide microRNA precursor is filed under the name Canis lupus familiaris (dog). Its description in RNAcentral is "mir-8799 microRNA precursor family". It matches the Rfam family "mir-8799 microRNA precursor family". The record is from Rfam by way of RNAcentral. Lineage: Eukaryota; Metazoa; Chordata; Mammalia; Carnivora; Canidae.
GGGGGGAGGUCGGAUCCUGGGCUGUGUCCCCAGUGCCCUGUGCUCCCAGCCUGCGCUGUUGGAUUUGCGCUCCCGGCCGUGCAUCCCCGU